Molecule: long non-coding RNA, 1340 nt
Filed under: Piliocolobus tephrosceles (Ugandan red Colobus)
Lineage: Eukaryota; Metazoa; Chordata; Mammalia; Primates; Cercopithecidae
Description: lncRNA (ENSPTEG00000024682.1)
Source: RNAcentral
GCUUAAGUAAUAUAAAUAAUGUAAAUAAAGCAAGUAAUAAGGUAAAAAACAAAGUAUCUAAUCAAGUAUAUAAUAAAUGUAUUGCAAAAAAAAAAAACAUAAUGAAAUGAUUUUACAGAAUAAAAAAGAAACAACUUUACUUAAUACAAAUGAAAAAAAAUUGAAAAUUGAAAAAGCGAAAGUUGGUACUCCCAUUAAAAAAAAAAACAAACCAAGUCAUUCAAAGUAACAUUAAUAAUAACAUUAAUAAUAACAGUAGUAAUAACAGUAGUAAUAACAGUAGUAAUACAUUACCUAAUAAAUUUAUAACAACAAUAAAUAAACAAACUGAUGUAAAAUGUUAUACAAAAAUUAAAGAAAAUAAAGUAAAAGCAAAAAGAGCUAGUUAUGAUUAUAGUGGUCACGAGGUUAAUACUAGUGGUCAUUUAUCUGAUCUUCAAGUUACCGUUAAUAGUGGUAUUUCUAUAAAUGCCAAUGUCAGUGUCAAAUCAGUAAACAAAACUCCAACAAAUCAGCAAAACAAAACAGCGUUUAACAAAUCAAGUGUUAAUACACCAAAAAAUGCAAUAGUUAAAAAAAACACUACGUUAAAAGAAGCAAACAAAAGAACAAGUGUAAAACUAUGUACAUAUAACAAUAAUUUAAAAAAAGAAAAAAAUCAAAAAAAUCAAAAAAAUCAAAAUAAUGAAAAUAAUGAAAAUAAUGAAAAUAAUGAAAAUAAUGAAAAAACAAAACCUAAUAUAAAAGACGUAAUAAGUAACAACCUAAACAAACAACAAAGAGUAAUAACAAACAAAAUUCUAAACACAUCUAUUAACUUCGAUGCUUCACAUGGAGUAGUACAAUCUAUAAGUAACAUUACUGAUGCUGGUAGUCACAUACUUGACAUGUAUUCACAUAAUGUCACUACUGAUGUUACUACUGGUGUUACUACUGGUGUUACUACUGGUGUUACUACUGGUGUCACUACUGGUGUCACUACUGGUGUCACUACUGGUGUGAAUAAUCAAGAGAAUUUGCAAGAUAUAAUCAAUAACCAAGUAAAAAUAUUUGAGCAACAAUUUUUAUAAAAAAGGGAAACAUAAAAAAAAAAAAAAAAAAAAAAAAAAGGGCUCUACAUGUCCAUACAGCAUGUAUGCAUAUAUAGACCGGUUAUAUAAAACGGUUAUAUAAAUAUUAUGUUUUUUUUCCCACUCUUUUUGUCUGUCACUGUUUAUAAAAAAAAAAAAAUAAUAAUUAAAAAUAUAUACAUUUAUUCUUUUUAAAUUACACAACAUUUAUUUAUAAAACAUUCUUUUUUUGUUUUGUUUUUGUUUUUUCUAUUUUUUCUAUUUUUUCUA